This 242-nucleotide long non-coding RNA is filed under the name Elaeis guineensis (African oil palm). RNAcentral describes it as "long non-coding RNA (EGUI_LNC046823)". The record is from RNAcentral. Lineage: Eukaryota; Viridiplantae; Streptophyta; Magnoliopsida; Arecales; Arecaceae.
GCCACCUCGUGUGCCAAAGCCAAAAAUAGAACUUAUGGGAUUUAAGGGGUGAAUUGUGUGUUUGUCCACUCCUACAAAGCACUCUAGGUCAUACAUAUGAUUUUGAUGGAAAGCACAUGAAAAAAUCCACAAUACAAAUGCUUUUGAUGCAAGAAUAAGAUGAAAAAGAGUAUAUCUUAUUGUUUCUUUCUUUGUAUCACUUAAGAUUAAUAAAUUCUAAAUAAACUUAAAAUGAGGGAGAG